UACGUAGGUGGCAAGCGUUGUCCGGAUUUAUUGGGUUUAAAGGGUGCGUAGGCGGCCCUGUAAGUCAGUGGUGAAAUACUCCAGCUUAACUGGAGGGGUGCCAUUGAUACUGCAGGGCUUGAGUACAGAUGAAGUAGGCGGAAUUGACGGUGUAGCGGUGAAAUGCAUAGAUAUCGUCAAGAACUCCGAUAGCGAAGGCAGCUUACUAAGCUGUAACUGACGCUGAGGCACGAAAGUGUGGGGAUCAAACAGG
RNAcentral lists this ribosomal RNA (253 nucleotides) under uncultured bacterium. RNAcentral's name for it is "partial 16S ribosomal RNA". It matches the Rfam family "Bacterial small subunit ribosomal RNA", at positions 524 to 776 of the family's 1533-position model. The record is from RNAcentral. RNAcentral also lists the same sequence under 1 other name.